This 256-nucleotide long non-coding RNA is filed under the name Mus spicilegus (steppe mouse). RNAcentral describes it as "lncRNA (ENSMSIG00000028798.1)". Lineage: Eukaryota; Metazoa; Chordata; Mammalia; Rodentia; Muridae. The record is from RNAcentral.
CCAGGCUGAUCUUUCUAGAUCUAUCAUCAGUCCAAAUUCUACACCAAUGUCAUAAUGUAGCUCAUUAUUACAUACACUCUUGACAGAAAACUUAAGGUGGAGAUGAUAACCAAAGAGGUGGGUCCUUCUCCUGUUUCAUUGUCAUCGUAGACACUUGCUGACAUUUAAUGAGGACAAAAAGACACUAUGGCAGAGGACAGAUGAGCAAGGGAAACUAGGUAUGGCCACAAGUCACAGCUUUGGCCAGUGAGAUGCA